This is a long non-coding RNA of Pseudophryne corroboree (corroboree frog), 637 nucleotides long. RefSeq lists it as uncharacterized. The transcript is spliced from 6 exons. Lineage: Eukaryota; Metazoa; Chordata; Amphibia; Anura; Myobatrachidae. The record is from RefSeq and is a predicted model, not a curated record.
UUGGAUCCUUAUGCAUGCAGACCUAUAGGAUGUUUUGCUGGAAAACAAAAGUGAAUUAUCCACACCCAGUCCAUAACUGGAUCCUUCUUUAUGGGAUUUACAGAUAUUUAGGAAAAUUGCCGGAAUAGAGAUAUAACGAGGCUUGAUAAAUAACUAUUAUCCACAUUUGGGAGAAAAGUAUAUUUUACCAAGUAUUUUAUAAUAAAGAACUCCUUCUAAUAUCGUUACGAUAUGAGAAUCUUCCACUUCAAGUGUAAAGAAUAAGGAAUCCACUAAAUGUGGUCAUAUUAUGGGACUCUUCUUCCUCAAGUUUUCUAGCCUAUUUCAUAAAUAAUCCUUAGUACAAUAAUUGAUCCAUUUAAAAUUCAUUAUCUUCUAUGAAUGAUGCAGCAGUUUUCAAAAUAGAGAGCUACCUUUUAAAAAACACCCCUGAAGAAGUCGCUAUAAGACGAAAUGCGUUUGAUGAAAGCUCAUUUAUCUCUUAAUUUUCUUUACAUGAAUAAUGUUGAAUCACACAACUGUAUUUCCAAUGUAAAAGAAAUGUUUAUUAUCAAUUCAUUUUAAUAAAAAUUGUGAAUCUAAACUAUAUUGUUCUUAUAAUAAAAAAACAUUUGUGUUUUAAUACGGGUGUUUAUAU